Molecule: long non-coding RNA, 636 nt
Filed under: Coturnix japonica (Japanese quail)
Lineage: Eukaryota; Metazoa; Chordata; Aves; Galliformes; Phasianidae
Description: lncRNA (ENSCJPG00005011124.1)
Source: RNAcentral
AGUUCUUAGAGUCUUAAAUUUUCUUCGAAUCAGGCAUGGAAUAAUCUCAUCCUGGCAGUGCUAGCCAAUCCUCACAGCUUUCUCUUCCAGAAAGACAAAGGCAAGGAGGACAUCCAAACACUGAAAAACGAGGAAGAAGCAGAACUUGAAGUCCAAAUGGCCUUUCAAAUUUACACAGGAUUUGAAGUGAAUAUCUCAGACCCUCAGACCAUUCUUUAUUAUUGCAUGCACAGGAUUUAAAAUACAUAUCCAGAUUUGAAUUGACGUCUUGAAUAUUUUUCCCUGAUGGCAUCAUUUUUUUUUUUCCCAGGAAUGAAAGAAAAGAAAAAAAGAUGUGAAAAAGAUUGCAUGAAAGAUUUUGAUUACAAAUGUUAUCACUUGAUUUAAUCAGUCUAUCUUGAUGAGUACACGACAUUUAAUCUAGUGCUGUUUUGAUCCUCUUUCUCUUCAUCAUUAUUGUACUGUUUGUCUUAUUAUUUCUCAUAUAAAUGUUAAAGAAUUAACUCAGUGUCUGUUGUGAUAGGACAAGGGGAAAUGGUUUCAAUCAGAAAGAGGGAAGACUUAAGUUUGUUGUAAGGAAAAGUCCUUCACAGUGGGGGUGAUGAGGCACUGGAACAGGUUGCCAAGAGAUGUGGU